Long non-coding RNA from Manihot esculenta (cassava), 1466 nucleotides. RefSeq lists it as uncharacterized. The record is from RefSeq and is a predicted model, not a curated record. The transcript has 5 exons. NCBI's taxonomy places the organism in Eukaryota, Viridiplantae, Streptophyta, Magnoliopsida, Malpighiales, Euphorbiaceae.
CCAAUUGAACUAUCAAUCCCAUCAACAAAGCAAUCAAAGAAGCUUAAACACCAUUAUUGAUCUUCAUGAGCAAAUCAUAUGGCUUCCCUACUCAGCAGUCACUCCAUCCUUCACAGCAGCAAUAAGAUCAGCUCCUUUGAUGGUGUUAAGUCGGUGAGCAACAACAAAAUUGAAGCGUCCAGUGUACUUGUUGCCUCAUCGAGCAAAAGAAUUUUUGGAUUGUUUAUAGUAUUGCUCUGACAAUGGCUAUUCUCUGUUUCUGCUCACCAGAUAUCUUGAACCCCUCGUUCGUCGACCGAAGUUUUGUAGCCUUGGGAUCAUGCUUAAGUAGAGGAAUGAAUGGCUGAAGCAAUAGUUCCAACAAACAAAACUGGCAGCUCAGGCUUGUUUAGAUGGCUGAAGCAAUAUUCUAUUAUUAAGACCAAGAACUUUUGAUAUGAUGAAAAUGGAGUUGUCUUCUAAAGUGAUGGCUCCCACCAUUAACACAAUGUUGACAAAAUUCCCAUGCAUGAGGAAUAUUUGCAUGAGUUAUGGCCCAUAUUUUCAAAUGAUUAGUCCUAAGAGAGGAUCCUUUUUGUCACUAACAAGGACAUCCAUGAAAGAGAAAGGCAACUGUACUCUUGUUACCUGUCAACUUAAAGCAGCGUUCCCUGUUGCUUUGUUUCAUCAAACAUUCUGCUAUGCUUUUGAAAGUAAUAUGAAGCCAAUUAGCCGAACGAACCAUGCAGUUUUCUCUACUUCUUCACCAACGUUUUCAAUUCUUCAUUACUGUAAGUCCAUGAUUCAUGUGAAGCUAUGAGUUCUUUGUCCUUUGAUUUAUUACAAGUUUUCUUGCUGUUAGAUUUGCUACCUUUAGUAAAGAAAAAGUGUGUUCUUUUUUCCAUGGGGAAGGUUUCUUUUCUUUUCUUUUCUUUUUUGUUUCAGUGCUUUCUUUCAAGGAUGUUUAACGGAGUGAAGAUGGUGGUGGUAAAAAAGAUGAUAUGUGCAGUGCAGUAGAAGAAAAUGGAGAAAGGUUUCCGUGAGGUAGACGCGCGAGGAAGAUAACGAGAAAUAGAGAGGCGGGGGUGGUUCAUAUUCAGACAGACAACGAAAGACAUCGGCUCCAAGCUACUGCUUCUCAUGGUCUUCCUCUGAUGCUCGUGGAGUUCCCUGAAAGCUGGUUGCUCCCGAAAAGGUUCAAAGACAGUUAGUGAUGCAGUUGAAGAUUAAUCACCUUCCUGAACAUUCAACAUGAUAUUUACUUACUUUAAGGUCUGCAGAAUUUAUGAGUUGAUAUAGUUAAGAUGUGGAAUAGGGAAUGAAGCCAUCGGUCCGUGUAGCAUAGGGUAAAUGUAUAAUAUUUGACAGUUGCUGUAAAUUAUUUUGUGUUUUCUGAAAUGUUUAGCUGAUGUAAACAAUGUCUUAAUCAUACUUUUGUUCCCUGAUUUUUUGUCAUUAUCUAUUAAAACGUCCGCCUUCUCUCUCUC